This 1317-nucleotide long non-coding RNA is filed under the name Nicotiana benthamiana. RNAcentral's name for it is "long non-coding RNA (NBEN_LNC039325)". The record is from RNAcentral. Lineage: Eukaryota; Viridiplantae; Streptophyta; Magnoliopsida; Solanales; Solanaceae.
UUAAAUUGUCGCUUUUGAGAUUUAUUGUCGAAAUGAGAGCGAUUGUCGGUUAGGCUUGCCUAGCAUUAUGGUUGGGCACCAUUAUGAUCGGGUUUGGAUUGUGACAAGUUGGUACUAGAGCCUAGGUUACUAGGCCUCGUGAGUCAUGAGCCGGUUUAAUAGAGUGUCGCAGAUCGGUAUAUAGACGUCCGUAUCUAUCCUCAGGAGGCUACAGAACCUUAGGAAACACUUCACUGUCUUGAAAUCUUAUCAUGUAUCCUUGAUUCAGCUUGAAAGAGUAACUAUUGAAAUUCCUUCCGCGUGAACAUAUGCACGAACGGGCGCUCAGUAUUAGAUGUGCCUUGAUCGAUUGUUCCUCGAUUGAGGGGCGAGACGUGAUUUCUUUGAGUUUGAUGUUAGGCCAGUCUGGAGGACUUGAGGCCAGAUCUUUGCCAAUGGCUUGAGCACCGAGGUGCUGAUUGGGCGAGCAAGUGUUUUGAACUUAUAUGUCCAGUAUUGUCCCUAUUAUGGGAAUGAUGGUUGGAUAGCUACGUGAGGAGUAUGUUAGUACUGCGAGAUGUAUCUAUAUGACUUGGAAGUGACGAGGAUACGAGCUAGUGUUAUGAACUAAUAUGUUCAGUAUUAUCCCUAAUAGUGGGAAUGACGGACAGAUAGCUACAUGAUGAGUAUGUUGGCGCUGUGUGAUGUGUCUAUAUGACUUGGAAGUGCCGGAGAAGGUCUACUUAGUAAUAGAUGAACCACUAAGUGUUUGAUUCCCAUUGCGAUUAGAUGUGUUUCCCCGAGUUGUGGGUGCGUGAAGAAUCUUUUCCAUUCUCCUAGUUGGGAGCGAAGUAAAUAGCAUGUUGUGGGUUGACUUCAGACCCAGGAAGAUUAAAUGACCGUGUGGAAUAUAUGAUGAAGGAAGGCAAAAUGAAAUACUGAAUUGAGGCGAAACAGGUAGGAUAUCUCCUGCGGAGUGUCCUUAAGUGGUAUGAUCCUUAUGUGUAUGUUAGAAGAUCUCAUGUGUAAUUGAAAAGUAUUUUGUAUGUGCUAUGAUUUCGAAUAGGUGUAAUGCAUGUUCAUGUAUCAAUUUUGAUAAUAGAAUACAUGUAUUAUUGAGAUUAAUGUUGUUGAUAUACAUUGUGAUGCUUUGUCAAGUUGUGGACAUGUUGUUAGGAUAGUUUUGGUGAUUCUCUGGCAGGUGGAUAGGCCCAAUUACAAAGAAAACUCUGCAAAAUUUUUUGAAAACUUUGGGACUUAGUAAAAAAUUUUGUCGCCUACAGAGUGGGCUUAAUUGUUGUGUGAAUGAAUGCAUGAAUUGCAGAAGAGUUAAAAAUU